This 491-nucleotide long non-coding RNA is filed under the name Mus musculus (house mouse). RNAcentral describes it as "predicted gene, 48757". The record is from RNAcentral. Lineage: Eukaryota; Metazoa; Chordata; Mammalia; Rodentia; Muridae.
CAAGCCAGUAAGCAGCACCUCUCCAUGGGCUCUAUGCCAGCUCUUGCCAUCAGGUUCCUGCCCUGUUUGAGUUCCUAUCCUGACCUCCUGCAAUGAUGAACAGCGCUGUGAUAGUAGUUUGUCCUGCUUCUGGGCUUUAUUCCUUAGGUGCUGAGAAGCAGAGAGGGGCUCAAUGGGAAGCCUUGAGGAGCCAGAGCCAUGGACAGUAAAAGCAGAAGAGAAACAGUAUUCCGUGAGAGAAUACUCAGUUUAUCAAUAGAUGUCUUUGGACCUUCGAAUGUGCAAAUGUCUUCCCAGGUUUCUAUCUGAAGUUAGCCGACUAAUAUCUUUAUCCACGUGAUGCAUUUUUAAAGAAAGAAAGAAGAGAAACAGAAGCUGAAGGAAGAUGUGUGGGGUUUCCCUGGAGCACACAAGCUGAAUUGCCACCCAGGUCAUACUGUUCUUCUUGGGUGUGGUCAAUUCAUUGAUUACAGGCACAGUCUAGCAUUCUG